GUGUGUGUGUGUGUGUGCGUGAGACUGUGUGUGUGUGUGUGUGUGUGUGUAACGAGGGUCCUCUGUAUUCACGCUAUGUGUAGAUAAUGUGUACGUGUGUAGCCUCAUAUCUUUAUACUGAGUAUAUUUAUACGUCUGUUUGUUUUCUAACACAUUGAGUUCAGCGUCUCAAUCCCCUCCAGUGUAAAUUAGCAUCACUCAUGUAUAUAUUUUUCUGUUUGUUGUCUCUAAAGCAGCAGAUUCCUGUAUUGAAUUGAUGUUAUUUUUUUGCUCAAAAUGAGGGAGGCUUGUUGGUUGGAGGCGUUCGGGUCGGGUGGAGCGGGUGGAGCCCGACGCUUUCAAAGCGCCUCCUGAAUUCAAACAGCAUUUUAGGAGCGUUCUAAAACGCUGAGCAUGCUGGGUACUUUGUUCACUUUGUACUACUGAACAAGGCGUGUAACUACAACACUGCUGGAGCAGCUGUCUGUAAGUCGAGGACAGAUUGUCAUUCAACAUCUGUGUCGAGGCCUCGCGGUGUCUGCUGGGGGAUCGGGGCUCCAGCGGGUUGUGAGAUCAGUUAUUCCGAGUCAUUAAAGUUGAUUCCCUGCUGACGUCUCCGACGUCGUACUCGAGCUUCAGUUUCGUCUGCUGAUACAUUAUGAACUCGUCAGCUCGCGGAGCCGAUGCUCCACUUCCUGUCUGUGGGCAGGUAAAAGUCACCUCCCCAAAGCGCUGCAGGCGGAACUUCUGGUAAGCGCUCGAAAUACUGACAUGUAACGUUGUCAAAACCGGUUUUAGUCCGUUUUGAUUGUUUUAUUUUGAUGUAUAAAUGUUCCCGGCAACGUUUCCAUCGAAUUCUGUUUAAUCCUGUAAAUCAUUAAAAGACCAAUUUCUAGUGAGGAAAAGUUUGUUGUGACGUCCACAUCGAGCUGUGAGCCAAUAGUUCAUUUAAGUAGUGAAGCUAAAGAUUAAGACGCUUACGAUUUGAAGACUUUACUGCAAUUACUCUAAAGCAGACGACGAUGUCACCGCGGUCACGAGGCACACAACUGUCAUAUUUAGGUGUUGAUAUUUAUCUGAUGAGAGAUUAUUAAAGGCUCUGCAAAACACGUUGAAUUUCUUUAUCAAAAUAUUGUAUAAAAAAGUGUGAAGCGCACCUUUUCUCUCAGUUCAAACCAGAUAUUUCUAGAUAGUAGUGAAAUACUACUUCCAGCGUCACAAGCGGUGACGGUUUGGAAGCGAUUGUGGUGUAAACAUUUUAAAUAAUUGAG
Molecule: long non-coding RNA, 1250 nt
Organism: Gasterosteus aculeatus aculeatus (three-spined stickleback)
Lineage: Eukaryota; Metazoa; Chordata; Actinopteri; Perciformes; Gasterosteidae
Source: Ensembl